AAGGAGUCCAAGAUGAUGUCCAGGAGUUGGAUUCGGUCAACGUUGGGAUCCUGGAGACGCCUCUGCCCGGCGUGAGAGAGGAGCUGGAAGCCCUUCUGCGGCAGAAGCGCCUGGCUGUGUCUCUGGAAGCCUUGGGUGGGGAGCGCUGACGACAUCGGUGUCCUGUCCUCCUCCGGCGGCACCGGGAACCUGCUGGAACCUUCCGCCAGUCCCCGCUGAGCCCAGCGCCGUUUCCCCUGGAUCAUCAAUAAACCCUCUCUGCAAUAAA
This is a long non-coding RNA of Parus major (Great Tit), 268 nucleotides long. RefSeq lists it as uncharacterized. Lineage: Eukaryota; Metazoa; Chordata; Aves; Passeriformes; Paridae. The record is from RefSeq and is a predicted model, not a curated record. The transcript has 4 exons.